Molecule: transfer RNA, 76 nt
Filed under: Erysipelothrix sp.
Lineage: Bacteria; Bacillati; Bacillota; Erysipelotrichia; Erysipelotrichales; Erysipelotrichaceae
Description: tRNA-Thr
Rfam family: tRNA
About the family: Transfer RNA (tRNA) molecules are approximately 80 nucleotides in length. Their secondary structure includes four short double-helical elements and three loops (D, anti-codon, and T loops). Further hydrogen bonds mediate the characteristic L-shaped molecular structure. tRNAs have two regions of fundamental functional importance: the anti-codon, which is responsible for specific mRNA codon recognition, and the 3' end, to which the tRNAs corresponding amino acid is attached (by aminoacyl-tRNA synthetases). tRNAs cope with the degeneracy of the genetic code in two manners: having more than one tRNA (with a specific anti-codon) for a particular amino acid; and 'wobble' base-pairing, i.e. permitting non-standard base-pairing at the 3rd anti-codon position.
Source: RNAcentral
GCCGACGUAGCUCAAUCGGUAGAGCAACUGAAUCGUAAUCAGUAGGUUGCAGGUUCAAUUCCUGUAGUCGGCACCA